RNAcentral lists this transfer RNA (65 nucleotides) under Leptogium corticola. Its description in RNAcentral is "tRNA-Cys". Lineage: Eukaryota; Fungi; Ascomycota; Lecanoromycetes; Peltigerales; Collemataceae. The record is from RNAcentral.
GGAUAUGUAGUAGACGGUUUACGGUUUGAUUGCAAAUCUAAUUUAUGAGGUUCGACUCCUCCUUA